ACUAAAUCUUAAUCAAACUCAAAUCAAAUCCUAACCAAAUCUUAACUAAAUCCUAAUCAACCCUAAAUAAAUCUUAAUCAAAUCCUAAACAAAUUCUAACCAAAUGCUAAUCAAACCUUAAUCAAAUCUUAACCAAAUCUUAACUAAAUCCUAAUCAAGUCCUAAUCAAAUUCUAAUCAAAUCUUAAUCAAAUCCUAAUAAAUUCUAAUUAAAUUUUAAUCAAGUUCUAAACUAAUCCUUAUCAAAUCCUAGUCAAAUUCUAACCAAAUUCUAACAAAAUCCUAACCAAAUCCUAAUCAAAUCUUAAACAAAAUCUAACCAAAUUUUAAUCAAAUCCUCAUCAAAUCCUAAACUAAUACUAAUCAAAUCCUAACCAAAUCUUAACCAAACCCUAACCAAAUCAUAAUCAAAUCCUAGUCAAACCAUAAACAAAUCCUAACCAAAACCUAAUCAAAUCCUAACCAAAUUCUAAUCAAAUCCUAAUCAAAUCUUAAUCAAAUCCUAUCCAAAUUCUAAUUAAAUCUUAAUCAACUCUAAAUAAAUCUUAGUCAAACUUUAAAUAAAUCUUAACCAAAUCCUAGUCAAAUCCUAAAAAAUCCUAACCAAACUCUAAAUAAACCUAAAUAAACUUUAACUAAAUUCUAAUCAAAUCCUAAACAUAUCCUAACUACACCCUAAAUAAUCCAAAUAAUUC
This 694-nucleotide long non-coding RNA is filed under the name Physcomitrium patens. RNAcentral's name for it is "long non-coding RNA (PPAT_LNC011675)". Lineage: Eukaryota; Viridiplantae; Streptophyta; Bryopsida; Funariales; Funariaceae. The record is from RNAcentral.